ACUCCGCCGGCGACCGGCGCACGGGUGCGUAACGCGUAUGCAACCUACCUUUAACAGGGGGAUAACACUGAGAAAUUGGUACUAAUUCCCCAUAACAUUCGAGAAGGCAUCUUCUUGGGUUAAAAACUCCGGUGGUUAAAGAUGGGCAUGCGUUGUAUUAGCUAGUUGGUGAGGUAACGGCUCACCAAGGCAACGAUACAUAGGGGGACUGAGAGGUUAACCCCCCACAUUGGACUGAGACACGGCCAA
This 249-nucleotide ribosomal RNA is filed under the name uncultured bacterium. RNAcentral's name for it is "partial 16S ribosomal RNA". It matches the Rfam family "Bacterial small subunit ribosomal RNA", at positions 82 to 334 of the family's 1533-position model. The record is from RNAcentral.